AAACUAAUUCAGUUUGGCGGCAUUUCAUCUAUUUAGAGGAAUUUGUCCUUUAAUCGAUAAUCCACGUUAAAUUUUACUUUAAUUUAAAACUUAUAUACCGCCAUCUUAAGAAUUAUUUUAAAAACAUUCUCUCAAUAAAUAAUAAAAAGUUAGGUCAAGGUGUAAUCUAUAUUAAAGAAUCGAUGAAUUACAUUAAAUAAUAUUUAAAGAUUACUAAUAAAUAUAUAAGUAUUAAUAAGAAUUUAAAAGUAAUAUAUUGAAUAAUAAUAAUAUAUGAUAAAGAUAAUAAAUGUGCACACAUCGCCC
This 306-nucleotide ribosomal RNA is filed under the name Coelotes solitarius. Its description in RNAcentral is "partial 12S ribosomal RNA". The record is from RNAcentral. Lineage: Eukaryota; Metazoa; Arthropoda; Arachnida; Araneae; Agelenidae.